GCCUGGGUGGCUCAGUCGGUUGAGCGUCUGACUUUGGCUCAUGAUUUCUCGGUUCGUGAGUUCGAGCCCCAUGUCGGGCU
RNAcentral lists this transfer RNA (80 nucleotides) under Felis catus (domestic cat). It matches the Rfam family "tRNA". Rfam says of the family: Transfer RNA (tRNA) molecules are approximately 80 nucleotides in length. The record is from Rfam by way of RNAcentral. Lineage: Eukaryota; Metazoa; Chordata; Mammalia; Carnivora; Felidae.